This 492-nucleotide ribosomal RNA is filed under the name uncultured bacterium. RNAcentral describes it as "partial 16S ribosomal RNA". It matches the Rfam family "Bacterial small subunit ribosomal RNA", at positions 29 to 507 of the family's 1533-position model. The record is from RNAcentral.
AGUGAACGCUGGCGGUAGGCCUAACACAUGCAAGUCGAACGGCAGCACAGUAAGAGCUUGCUCUUACGGGUGGCGAGUGGCGGACGGGUGAGGAAUACAUCGGAAUCUACUUUUUCGUGGGGGAUAACGUAGGGAAACUUACGCUAAUACCGCAUACGACCUCCGGGUGAAAGCAGGGGAUCUUCGGACCUUGCGCGAUUGAAUGAGCCGAUGUCGGAUUAGCUAGUUGGCGGGGUAAAGGCCCACCAAGGCGACGAUCCGUAGCUGGUCUGAGAGGAUGAUCAGACACACUGGAACUGAGACACGGUCCAGAAUCCUAAGGGAGGCAGCAGUGGGGAAUAUUGGACAAUGGGCGCAAGCCUGAUCCAGCCAUACCGCGUGGGUGAAGAAGGCCUUCGGGUUGUAAAGACCUUUUGUUGGGAAAGAAAAGCAGCAGGUUAAUACCCCGCUGUUCUGACGGUACCCAAAGAAUAAGCACCGGCUAACUUCGUG